Triticum aestivum (bread wheat) is the source of this 124-nucleotide non-coding RNA. Lineage: Eukaryota; Viridiplantae; Streptophyta; Magnoliopsida; Poales; Poaceae. The record is from Rfam.
CAUGUACUCCCUCCGUCCUGAAUUACUUGUCACGGAAAUGGAUGUUUCUAGACGUAUUUUAGUUCUAGAUACAUCCAUUUUUAUCUGUUUUGCGACAAGUAAUUUCAGACAGAGGGAGUAAUUA